GAGAGACAGGCCUGUAGAAAAGUACUGAGUAUGUUAACAGUGUCAAGUAGAGAACAGAGAACCCUUCCCCCUAAAUUUCCUGACUGCAUAGGUGUCGGAGUUCCCUGAAGUUCUACUGAAGUCAGUAAAGCAAAGCUCAUCCUACUCCACAUUAAGAAGGGAACUAGGUAGAGGUUGUCUCAACAGGUUGUCUCAACAGCUCACAGGGCCUGUUUGUGAACAUUGUAUGCAGUCUCUUAACUACUUCGGAGACAGAGCUUACCCAGAGUGGGUUCAUCAUGCUGGGAGGAUAACAUUUUGUGUAUUUCCUUCAGAGCUACACUAUGUGCUUUUUGGAUUUCAGAUUGUGAAUGAAACUCUCUGCUUUGGAUCAUCUGAUCUUUUACCUCCAUCACAGGCAAGUGCAGUGCAGAACUACUGCUCCUUCUUUGUUGUUUCACCUUUGAAAUAAAACUUACAGCAAGUCUGCAAAUAUAUUGUCUCUCUGCCUGAUAAAUCAGGUACUGCUCCAAGGAGAGGAAUUGCUGAUAUGCUACAAUUGGGAAAAUGGGAUCUAGAAGGUAAAUUUCCAAAGGUAAGCUAAUUCUUAGGAGCACUACCUUUAGCACACGAUUUAAGUUAUCCAAGGCAGUGUCAAUCUUAUGACAGCACAUUCAGAUACAAAUUUUCCUGGAAAACCUUUUCCACCAUGCACUUAGAUUCAUCAACCCAACUCUUCAAGCCACUAGAACUUAAGAAGUCUGAUUUUCUUAUACAUUCAAUUAUACAUUCUAAAAUGCAAUGGUAUGUGAGGUUAUUUUGUUUCUCUACCUAAACUUUCCACAUUUCAGAUAAAAUCAAGUAUAAUAAUUAUAACCAUAUACACUUAUGCUGCUGGAAAAUAGCUGAUUCUCUCACGUGUAAGAAAUAUGUAUUCAUUCAAAUCUCGUCAGUUCAUUAGAGAGCAAGUGAAUUUCACCCAGAGGGCAACAAAUGAUAUGUUGAUAAAUCCAAUUAUCAUAAUUUUGUUAGAUUGACUGCCACAAUGGGAAAAUACCUUGCUAAAAAUACAAGACUUUAAAAGAGAAAUAUAAAGCAAGUCUAUUAU
Molecule: long non-coding RNA, 1087 nt
Filed under: Anser cygnoides (Swan goose)
Lineage: Eukaryota; Metazoa; Chordata; Aves; Anseriformes; Anatidae
Description: lncRNA (ENSACDG00005002697.1)
Source: RNAcentral